This 510-nucleotide ribosomal RNA is filed under the name uncultured bacterium. RNAcentral's name for it is "bacterial SSU rRNA". It matches the Rfam family "Bacterial small subunit ribosomal RNA", at positions 28 to 526 of the family's 1533-position model. The record is from RNAcentral.
GAUGAACGCUAGCGGCAGGCCUAACACAUGCAAGUCGAGGGGCAGCAUAGAAAUUGCUUCGGUAGUUUUUGAUGGCGACCGGCGGACGGGUGCGUAACGCGUAUGCAACCUACCCUUUACAGGGGGAUAACGGAGGGAAACUUCCACUAAUACCCCAUAACAUCAUUUCCGGCAUCGGUUAUGGUUAAAAACUCCGGUGGUAAAGGAUGGGCAUGCGUUGUAUUAGGUAGUUGGUGGGGUAACGGCUCACCAAGCCAACGAUACAUAGGGGGACUGAGAGGUUAGCCCCCCACACUGGUACUGAGACACGGACCAGACUCCUACGGGAGGCAGCAGUGAGGAAUAUUGGUCAAUGGACGCAAGUCUGAACCAGCCAUGCCGCGUGCAGGAAGACGGCUCUAUGAGUUGUAAACUGCUUUUAUACAGGGAUAAACCCCGUUACGAGUAACGGGUUGAAGGUACUGUAAGAAUAAGGACCGGCUAACUCCGUGCCAGCAGCCGCAGUAACAC